This 441-nucleotide ribosomal RNA is filed under the name uncultured bacterium. RNAcentral describes it as "partial 16S ribosomal RNA". It matches the Rfam family "Bacterial small subunit ribosomal RNA", at positions 338 to 795 of the family's 1533-position model. The record is from RNAcentral.
CCUACGGGUGGCAGCAGUAGGGAAUUUUGCGCAAUGGGCGAAAGCCUGACGCAGCAACGCCGCGUGAUUGAUUAAGCCCUUCGGGGUGUAAAGAUCUGUCAGUGGGGACGAAACUUGACGGUACCCACAGAGGAAUCACCGGCUAACUCCGUGCCAGCACCCGCGGAAAUACGGAGGGUGCACGCGUUGUCCGGAAUCAUUCGGUGUAAAGAGUUCGUAGGUGGCAUAUUAAGUCUGGUGUUAAAUGCAGAAGCUCAACUGCUGUUCGGCACUGGACACUGGUAGGCUUGAGUGGGGAAAGGGUAAAGGGAAUUCCUGGUGUAGCGGUGAAAGGCGUAGAUAUCAGGAGGAACAUCGGGGGCGUAAGCGCUUGACUGGGCCGUAAUUGACACUGAGGAACGAAAGCCGGGGUAGCAAAUGGGAUUAGAUACCCGUGUAGUC